UGCGUAGGUGGCCAUGAAAGUCUGAUGUGAAAUCUCCGGGCUUAACCCGGAAAAUGCAUUGGAUACUAUGUGGCUGGAGGUUUGGAGGGGGGGACUGGAAUUCUCGGUGUAGCAGUGAAAUGCGUAGAUAUCGAGAGGAACACCAGUGGCGAGGGCGGGUCCCUGGACAACACCUGACACUGAGGCACGAAAGCUAGGGGAGCAAACA
Molecule: ribosomal RNA, 208 nt
Filed under: uncultured bacterium
Lineage: Bacteria
Description: partial 16S ribosomal RNA
Rfam family: Bacterial small subunit ribosomal RNA
Source: RNAcentral